GGUCUGGCCGGGCGGUCCGCCCUCUGGGUGAGCACUGUUCCGACGUCGGGCCUAUCCUUCUGGUGAGUCGGCAUGUCCUUUAUUGGGUGUGUCGGGGAACCAGGACCAUUACCUUGAAAAAAUUAGAGUGUUCAAAGCAGGCGUAUGCUCGGAUACAUUAGCAUGGAAUAAUGAAAUAGGACGCGUGGUGCUAUUUUGUUGGUUUCUAGAACCGCCGUAAUGAUUAAUAGGGAUAGUUGGG
This 241-nucleotide ribosomal RNA is filed under the name uncultured Glomeromycotina. Its description in RNAcentral is "partial small subunit ribosomal RNA". The stretch from base 95 to 241 matches the Rfam family "Eukaryotic small subunit ribosomal RNA", at positions 738 to 886 of the family's 1831-position model. The record is from RNAcentral. Lineage: Eukaryota; Fungi; Glomeromycota.